AGAGGGAGAAUGGAAGUGAGAAUGAGAGUAGAGAUGGGAUUGAGAAGGAAGAUGAGAGGAGGGGAUGGGCAAAAACUAAAAACUGAAAUCUAUUUCAAAUUGUUUUCACUUUUGUUACUCCUCCCUCUCAUCUUCUCUCUCAAUCUCAUCCUCACUCCCAUUCUCACUCUCAUUUUUCUCUAU
Molecule: microRNA precursor, 183 nt
Filed under: Prunus dulcis (almond)
Lineage: Eukaryota; Viridiplantae; Streptophyta; Magnoliopsida; Rosales; Rosaceae
Description: sRNA ncRNA
Source: RNAcentral